UACUGAUAGAGGGUUUGUAUUAUUGGACCCUAGAGAAAGAACACCGUCUGUCACAGUUGAUGAAGAUGACGAUGAAGAGACCACAUCUGCUGUGACAGAAGUGGACAAUGCUGGUAGAUCCACUGAGUACAUACCUGGGGAUUUGCCCACAGAUGAAGGUCCUUCAACCUCAAUGUAC
Molecule: non-coding RNA, 178 nt
Organism: Paramormyrops kingsleyae
Lineage: Eukaryota; Metazoa; Chordata; Actinopteri; Osteoglossiformes; Mormyridae
Source: RefSeq, a predicted model, not a curated record